AAUGGCAGAAGUUAUACAAUAGCUUGAGUUCAGAGUUACAAAGCAAUCCCCAUCUUACAAGCCUCACAAGAAUCCUAUCCCUCAGCUAUCACCAUCUACCAUAUUACCUCAAAUCAUGUGUCUUGUACUUCGGCAUAUUUCCAGAGGACUACUCAAUUAAUUGCGUAAGAUUGAUUCGGUUGUGGAUUGCUGAAGGGUUUGUAAAAUUGAAGAAGGGAAAGACACUAGAAGAGGUUGGAGAGGAAUACUUGACUGAGCUAAUUCACAGAAGCCUGGUUCAAGUGUCAAAGGUUUACAGGGAUGGAAAAGCUAGAGAAUGUCGAGUUCAUGAUCUUUUCUAUGAGGUCCUCCUUAAAAUGUGUGCGGAUUCAUGCUUUUGUCAUGUGUUAUCAAAAGACGAGUCAGCUUUUAAGCCAACAACUCGACGUCUCUCAAUGGCCAUUAGUCCCUCUGAUGCCUUGGGAAGCAUUACAUAGACUCACAUCCGUUCUGUGUUUACUUUCAACCAAAAAGAAUGGCCCGAGUCUUUCCUCAAUUCAUGGAGUGGAAACUGUAAACUUCUGAAAGUAUUGGAUCUCAUGGACGCUCCAAUCAAUCAACUUCCGAAAUAUGUGGGGGAUUUGUAUCUCCUGACGUACUUAAGCCUGAGAAAUACAAAGGUGGAGUUGCUUCCAGACUCCAUAGGCAAUCUGCAAAACUUAGAAACCCUGGAUCUAAAACAGUCUUUGGUGUAUCAAAUACCGGCCAAGAUCAAUAAGCUUGUUAAGCUGCGGCAUCUUUUGGCCUACUACCGCAACUACAACAUGGAUUUUUGCAUGAAUAGGGAAAGAGGAGUGAAGAUGCAUGAAGGUGUUGGAUGCUUACAAGAUUUGCAAAAAUUGUACUAUGUGGAGGCGAAUCAUGGAGGGAUCAAGCUAAUCAAAGAACUGGGAAAGUUGAGGCAGCUACGAAAGUUAGGACUAAAAAAAUUGAAACGUGAAGAUGGAAAGGCUCUGUGUGUUUGUAUUGAAAAGAUGAAUCACCUUGAAUCGCUAGAUUUAAGUGCAAUAAGUGAAGAUGAAGUCCUUGAUCUACAAUCCAUUUCAACUCCGCCAGAAUUUAUUCGGUCUGUGUGGUUGAAGGGGCGUUUAGAACAGUUGCCAAGUUGGAUUUCAAAUCUUCAACAACUCGUCAGAUUGGUGAUUUAUUGGUCAGGGUUGAGAGAUUCCCCAUUGAAAGCCCUUCAAAAUCUACCUAAUCUGUUGGAGCUUCGUUUCGGACAAAUGGGAUAUGAUGGCAGGCAGCUGCAUUUUGAGGAAGGAGGAUUUCAGAAACUUAGGAUUCUUGUACUCAAGGACAUGGAGGGACUAAAUUCAUUGAUCAUAGACAAAGGGGUUAUGCCUCUUCUCCAAGAGUUUCACAUUGGACCUUCCCCACAACUGAAGGAGGUGCCCUCUGGCAUCCACCAUCUCCAAAAUCUGAGACAUCUUUUGUUUUAUGGCAUGCCGAAGGAGUUUGCAAGACAAAUGGAUCCAAAUAAUGGCCCACAUUAUUGGAUUGUUAAACAUAUACGACAUGUUCGUUUUGUUUACAACUUUGGCCCGGGAAAUGGCAAAGCUGAAAGCCACUCCCUGUAUGAUUCCGACUUUUCGUUUUGGUGGAAUGCCUGAUUCCAACUUGAUAAAAAAAAUGGGAGUGUCUAAAGACUACAGGCUUAUGGGCCGUUAAGAUUCAAUUGUUAGCUCUGCUAGCCUUGGUUCUUGUGUAGAUUGACUGGGAGGGGCUCUUUCGUCUCUAUGGUUUUUUGUUUUUUUUUUUAAGUGUUGAGUCUUCUCCUUUUGUAUAUACAGAUUAAUUCAAUGACAUAUAUUCAAUAUAGUUAAUGUUUGUAUCCUGAUAUGGCACAUUUGAAAUACAUAAUAUGCAUUCGUAUAUAUAUAUCCUCGCAUGCAAAUGUAGAAAAACAAUUCUUUGUGGUUGUAAAAUUUUAUAUACUUAAUUAUAAAUGGAAUAAAAUUAAAAAAAAAAUCAAAAUUUACAAAAGAAAUACAAACACAAAAACAAUUCGGGAGCUCUGCUCUCUCUCUUCUACCCUCAUACCCUCUAGCUCUGUGUGUUUGCCGCAAGUAUGUGGGGGAUUUGUAUCUCUUAACGUAUUUAAGCCUGAAGAAUACAAAGGUCAAGUUGCUUCCAGACUCCAUAGGCAAUCUGCAAAACUUAGAAACCCUGGAUCUAAAACAGGCUUUGGUGUAUGAAAUACCAGCCAAGAUCAGUAAGCUUGUUAAGCUACGACAUCUUUUGGCCUACUAUCGUUACUGCAACAUGGGGUUUGGCUUGAAUAGGGAAAGAGGAGUGAAGAUACACGAAGGUAUUGGAUACUUACAAUCUUUGCAAAAACUGUACCAUGUGGAGGCAAAUCAUGGAGGGAUGAAGCUAAUCAAAGAACUGGGAAAGUUAAGGCAACUGCGGAAGUUAGGCCUAAAAAACUUGAAAGUGAAGCUGGACGAAGGGCUCUGGUUCUGUGCUGCUGCUAUUGAAAAGAUGAAUCACCAUCUUGAAUCUCUAGCUCAUUUUAAGUGGAAAUAAUAAGAAGAUGAAUGCCUCUCUGAGAAUUCCAUUGAUCUUUUUCCAUUUCACUCCACCAGAAUUUCUUCGGUCUCUGAUGAAGAGUCUUAGAAGGGUUUAGAGCAAGUUUGCACAGUUGGAUUCAAAUCUUCAACACGUCGUCAGAUUGGGGAUUUGUUGGUCAAGGUUGAGAGAUUCCCCAUUGAAAGCCCUUCAAAAUCUACCUAAUCUGUUGGAGCUUCAUUUAGGAAAAAUGGGAUAUGAUGGCGUGCAGCUGCAUUUUGAGGAAGGAGGAUUUCAGAAACUUAGGGAGCUAAAACUCGGGGAAAUGGGAGGACUAAAUUCACUGAUCAUAGACAAUGGUGUUAUGCCUCUUCUCCAAGAGUUUCACAUUGGAUCUUGCCCACUGAAGGAGGUGCCAUCUGGCAUCCACCAUCUCCGAAAUCUGAGAUAUCUUGUGUUUUAUGACAUGCCGAAGGAGUUUGCACAACAAAUGGAUCCAAAUAAUGGCCCACAUUACUGGAUUGUUAAACAUAUACAACAUGACGGUUUUGGUUACAAGUUUGGCCCGAGAUAUGACCAUGAAAGACACUUACUGUAUGAUUCUGACUUUUCGUUUUGGUCGAAUGCCUGAUUCUAACUUGAUCAAAAAAAUGGGAGUGUCGAAAGACUAUAGGUUUAUGGGCUGUUAAGAUUCAAUUGUUAGCUCUGCUAUCCCAGUUUCUCGUGUAGAUUGACUGGAAGGGGCUUUUUUUUUCUCUGUUUUUUUAUUUUUUUUUAUUUUUGACAUGAUGUAAUGUGGUCUACCUAGCAUUUUCCUUGUAAUUUUGUUGUUGGUUGCAAUAAUUUUUUUUUAUUAAAAAUUAAAAUAAAAAGCUAUCAUCACCCCAAACUCAAAAUGCUCAAAUGACAUGAUAAAAUUUCAUUGAAUUUUUUAUUAAUGAAUCAAGUUUUUACAGGAGAUAAGUGACAACUAUUUACCUAGUGGUUCUUUCAUAAAAAUGCUGUAAAAUAAAUAAAAAACUUCAAAUUUCUUUUAGGAAACUUUAUUAAUCUGUUGUUUCAAUUUUCAAGUCCCAACUUAAAUUGGGAAUAAUUUUUAAUUAAUUAAAGUCAAUUUUUUUAAAUUUAUAUACAGAUUAAUAAUUUUUAAAUAAAAUUGGAUUUGAUAUAAUUUGUAUUUCUUUUUAAUUUUGGAUUAAAUUAAAGAAAUUUUUGGGAGGUUGUUGAAGUGAGUCCCUUGUUGCAUCUUUCAAGACAAUUAAAAUGUAUUUAAUAAAGUUCAAAGUAAUUAUUUCCAAAAUUCAUACAUGUUUUGAGCAGAAAAUUAAUUUUUUCUUAAAAUCUAAAUCAUUUAUGGAUUAAAAGAGCUGAAAACAAAACUGUUACUUUAAAAUAGUGUUAUUAAAUUUGACUUUAUUUACUUCCAAACUUUACAAUUAACUUAAAUAUAUAAUUUGUAGAUUUCCCAAAAAAAUCAUAACCAAAUGGAGAUGAAGGAAUUGUAGCUCCACCAGUUUUCAAAGUGAAUAUAUACUAAAUGAACAAUUAAUUCCAAGCUUAUUUUGGGGUAAUGCUGGUUUCCUCCCUGUACGUAUCCCGCAUGCAAAUGUAAAAAAAUAGUUCAACUGAUGUGCAAAUUAAAAUCUAAGUCGAACUUUUCCCAAUGGCAAAACAAAGCUAGUGGAACAGCCACCAUUUCAAAAUUAUGACCGAAGGAACAUUUCUCUGCUUAGCUGCUAAGUCAGUCCUCCUCUCCUCUCUUCCUCGUCUUUCCUUUUGUUGCUGAUUUUGCCCUCUUAAAACUUGCCGCGCCUGCGAUCUGGAUGGCUGGCUGGUCAGGCUGAGCCAACGGGUGGCAACUCGAUGAUUUUGUGGUCUUGGGACUCAGGAGUUCCUUCGCAGGGCGAAGGCAGUGCCCCCAUCCCGCCUGAAUUCUUUUUGCAUUAUGGAUGACAAGGCGCUAAAACCAAUCCGAAAUUAUCGCCCAAAACAAAUAUCCAAUCUUCCAUUUCUUCUUCUUCACAUAUCAGAAUUUUCAAUUAGGGUUUCACAUGAACCUUAAUCAAAACUUCUACAUAUAUAAAUACAUAUACACAUAUAUAUUUAUAUAUAAACUCUCUCCCUCUCUCUCUCUCUCUCUCUCUCCCCCCCCUCUGUUUUGGAAUUUUGAUUUCCCGGGAAAGUUUCGAACCCAAUUUCUUAGAAAGUCCCUAAAGCUUUUCGAGGACGGGAGAAUCAGCCAUUCUCAGAUUGAACUUUUAAAUUCGCUGGCGCAUUUGCCUGAAAGCUGGUUCAGAAUGGAGGGGGAGAGAGGAUGGUGAACGAAGAAAUGGUUAGGAGGCUUUCAGGGAGAGGGACAUGGAUGAAUUGAUUGGACCCAAGAUUGAGCUACGAUUUCACUCGCCCCAGAGACAUGAAGUCGGAGGCCGAGAGGCAGAGACUAGUGGGAGGCUGUCAGCAGGAGGUCAGCAGAUCAGGUUAUCAGUUCUCGCGUAAGCGAUUUCAAAAACAUUGUAUUGAAUUUUGUGAAUGGUAUAUACAUCAUAAGACAAUCAGGUACAAGAGAUAGCAAAUAUAUAUAUGCUAGAGGGAAUAAAACAAGACUACCUAUCCCUCCUUGAUUUACGUCUAAAGCUAACAAAAAAAGAACAAAUAAGACACAUCCCUUGAAUUAAGGGAAUUGACAACACUAUCUAUCACCCUAAAAUCCUUUGUACGGUGAACAUGCAACCUAAUCUAACCUAGUUGCCAUUCUUUCUUCCAAUACCCCCUCAAGCUGGAUCAAAGGGAUUAAUUGAUCCAUUGCAAAAGAACAACUUAAGCUGCUGAAAUUAGCAGAGAAGGUUAAUCCUUUUAUGAAAAUAUCCGCAAGUUUAUCAUGACUGCGCGUGUAGUGAGUAUCGAUCACCUUGGACUGAACUUGAUUUCUGACGUAGUGACAAUCAACUUCAAUAUGUUUAGUUCGCUCAUGGAAAUACAGGAUUCGAUGCGAUGUGCAUCGCGGCCUGAUUUAUCACAAUGUAGGGACAUGGGUUGUUGAUGGGAAAACCUAAAGCCAACAGAAGGCUUUUGAGCCAAAUAAGUUCACAGCAGUCAGUCGACGCAUAUACUCUGCCUCUGCACUAGAGCGUGUGCAACAACACUUUUGUUUCUUGCUUUUCUAGGUAACUAGGUUGCCUCCCACAAACGUACAAAAACCAGUGGUAGACUUGCGAUCGAGAGAAUUGCAUGCCUAGUCAGCAUCGGUAUAGCCUGAGAUCUAAGUGUGACUAUUGUUGCGCAUAAGAAUUCCUCUGCCAAUGGAACCCUUAAGAUAACGUAGCACACGAUGAACAAUCUUCAAAUGAUCCAUGCUUGGAAAGUGCAUAAAUUGGCUAACAAUGCUAACAGCAUAUGAUAUAUCAGGACGUGUGAUAGUCAGAUAAAUGAGUUUGCCAACCAUUCUUUAAUAGUAAUUAAAUUGGAAUUGGACACCGUGAGUUUUUAGCUUCAAGUUGCUAUCCAAGGGGGUACGAGCAGGCUUGCAAUCUGUCAUUUUUGCUUCGUGAAGAAGAUCCAUCACAUACUUGCGUUGGUUGAGGAAGAAACUCUUGUGAGAGUGCGCCAUCUCGAUGCCCAGAAAGUAUUUGAAAGUGCCAAGAUCCUUGAUAGCAAACUUGUUGUUGAGAUACUGUUUAAGAGCAUUAAUCUCUAACAUAUUAUCACCUAUCACAAUUAGAUCAUCAACAUAAAUGAGCACAACUAGUUUACCCACUGAGCUGGAACGAACAAAUAGGGAAGAAUCCGCAAUACUUCAACAAAAACCAACCCUUUCCAGAACAUGACUGAGCUUGGCAUACCAUGCACGUGGAUUUUGCUUGAGACCAUAAAUGGAUUUAUGGAGUUUGCACACCAUUUCUGGAUUGUUUGAUUGAGGAUGGCCUGGGGGUAACUUCAUGUAAACCUCAUCUUCAAGUUCACCAUGCAGGAAAGCAUUUUUAACAUCCAUUUGAAAGAGAGAUCAUGCAUUGUUAAUUGCAACCGACAACAAUACUCUAACAGUGUUCAUUUUUGCCACCGGAGCAAAUGUCUCUUUAUAAUCGACGCCAUAGGUUUGUGUAAAACCUCGAGCAACCAAGCGAGCCUUAUUCCUUUCGAUUGUGCCAUCUGAAUGAAACUUAGUUUUGUACACCCAACGACUCCCCACUGCCUUCUUUCCUUUUGGAAGUUUCACUAUAGUCCAUGUGUUAUUUUCAUAGAGAGCUUGAAGCUCCUCUGCCAUAGCAUUUCUCCACUCACUGUGAAGAUUGGCUUCUUGAAAACUUUGAGGUUCUUAAGCUUCAUUAAUGGCACUUAGGAAUGUAGCAAAAGAAGAUAAGACUUUGCUAUAAUCAAUAACAUCAGUCACGGGAUACCUGGCAGCGUAGGUCACAUAAUCAUACAACUUGGAUGGAAGUUUCCUCUCUCGUGCAGGAUUGCGACGAACUGUAAGAGAUUGAACUACAGGUAUUUGAACAACAUCAUGGUUGGAAGGAUCACUGAAGGGUGCAGUGUGAAUCUCCGAUGAGGAAGAGGUUUCAUCUUCAAGAUGUUCCACCGAGUGAAGAUUAACAUCAUCCGGCACAUGAUCACUAGGAGUGCAUGUUGCAUCUUCUCCGUUUGGAUAUGGAAAAGGAAAUAAGUCCAUCAAAUGCUCCCCCUGUCUAGAGUAAUCCAGUGAUUGUGAGAAGUAAGGAACAUGUUCUUCAAAUUUAACAUCCCUUGAAACAACCAUUUUUCUAGUUGUUGAAUUAUAGCACUUGUAACCUUUUUAGGUAGAUGAAUAACCUAGAAAGACAUAUUUGGCAGCCCUUGGGUCUAGCUUGUCAUGAUUUUGAACUUGAAUGUGAACAAAACAUGUACACCCAAAGACUCUCAAAUGGGAAAAGUUGAUCUUUCUAUUUUUCAAGACCUCAUAAGGUGAUUUAAAAUUCAACACUUUACUAGGCAAUCUAUUGAUGAGAUAUGCCGCAGUAAGAACUCCUUGAGACCAAAACUUCUUAGGCACAUUCAUGUGAAACAUAAGAGCUCUAGUCUUCUCAAGUAGAUCUCUAUUCUUCCUCUCGGCCACCCCAUUUUGUUGAGGUGUUCCAACACAGCUUGUUUGGUGUAAUAUACCAUGCGUGCUCAAGUAGUGUGACAUGUUAUGAGACAUAUAUUCUGUGCCGUUAUCUGAUCGUAAAAUAUGAAUUUUUGAAGCAAAUUGGGUGGCCACAUGUCUAUGAAAAUCUUCAAAAACUUCCAUCACUUCACUUUUAAAUUUCAAAAGAUACAACCAAGUAAUCCUUGUGAAAUCAUCCACAAAAGUUACAAAAUAUUUGUAUCCAUCAAAAGACUCUAGAAUUGGUCCCCAAACAUUGGAAUGCACGAUUUCAAAAGGAUUACUAGCCCUAGACAAAGAGGAAGUAAAUGGUAAUCUAGUAAACUUAGAAAAAUGACAAACAUCACAAGGACUUGUAACUUUGCACAUGUUUGGGAACAAGGUGGAUAGAACUUUUUCAGAAGGAUGUGCUAGACGUUGGUGCCAAAGUUGUUGUUCUUGAGCUAAGCUUGAAGUGACUUGAAAAACCUUGGGAACUUGAAUAUGCUUGGAAAGAUAGUAGAGACCAUUUAAGAAAAAUCCUUCACCAAUCGUCUUCUUGGUGACUACAUCCUAAAAGAUCACAUUUUUGGGAGAGAAAAUGACAAGACAAUUUAAUGAGUUUGUGAUCUUGCCAACAGAUAAAAGUUGAAAAGGGAAUGAGGGAACAUAAAGAGCCUCAUACUCGACAUCACUUGAGAUCAAAUGUAUUUUUCCUUUUCCCACAACCAUAGCAUUUUUUCCAUUGGCAACUGACACUAGAGAUGGAAUAGAAAAAUUUUCAAAUUUAUGCAAGUUUGUAGACUUGUUAGUAUAUGAUCAGGGGCUCCAGAAUCUAUAAUCCAAUAAUCAUGCACAUUACCAAUAUUGAGAGCAGUUGAGAAUGAGUGUAAGAUACCUAGGAUGUCCCUUUGUACCACGCCUUCAUUUCCAGCCAGGAAGCCAGCAAACUAUCCUAGUAUUGCAGUUUGAUUGUUGUCACACUGAUUUAGUGGUCCUUCACUAUCUCCAAGACCUUGUUUCUUGUGAAGAAACAUAGCAAACUCGUUGAUCAAUGCAGCUAGAUUAAUGGUGAACUUCAGUGCUCCCUCAGAAGCAGUUGUGGCAACAUGAUUUGCCUUGUAAAAAGGGUUGUACGAGCCUUUCGAGACACCUUUAUUAUCCCAAUACAUUGAGGGGAAACUUUAAACUUCUGAAAGUAUUGGAUUUCAUGGAUGCUCCAAUCAAUCAACUUCCAAAAUAUGUGGGGGAUUUGUAUCUCUUGACGUACUUAAGCCUGAGGAAUACAAAGGUGGAGUUGCUUCCAGACUCCAUAGGAAAUCUGCUAAAUUUAGAAACGCUGGAUCUAAAACAGUCUUUGGUGUAUGAUAUACCAACCAAGAUUAAUAAGCUUGUUAAGCUGCGGCAUCUUUUGGCCUACUAUCGUGACAAUAACAUGGGUUUUUGCGUGAAUAUGGAAAAAAGAGUGAAGAUUCAUGAAGGUAUUGGAUGCUUACAAGCUUUACAAAAACUAGGCCAAGUGGAGGUGAAUCAUGGAUGAAUCAAACUAAUCAAAGAACUGGGAAUGUUAAGGCAGCUGCAGAAGUUAGGCCUAAACAACUUGAAAGGGGAAGAUGGAAGGGCUCUGUGUGCUUCUAUUGACAAGAUGAAUCACCUUAAAUGUCUAGAUUUAAAUGCAAUAAGUGAAGAUGAAGUCCUUGAUCUAGAAUCCAUUUCAACUCCACCAGAAUUUAUUCGGUCUCUGUACUUGAUGGGGCGUUUAGAGCAGUUGCCAAGUUGGAUUUCAAAUCUUCAACACCUCGUCAAAUUGGGGAUUUAUCUUUCAAGGUUGAGAGAUUCCCCAUUGAAAGCCCUUCAAAAUCUACCUAAUCUGUCGGAUCUUCGUUUGGGACAAAUGGGAUAUGAUGGCGGGCAACUGCAUUUUGAGGGAGGAGGAUUUCAGAAACUUAGGAAGCUAAAACUCGGGGAAAUGGAGGGACUAAAUUCACUGAUCAUAGACAAUGGGGUUAUGCCUCUUCUCCAAGAGUUCCACAUUGGACCCUGCCCACAACUGAAGGAGGUGCCGUCUGGCAUCCACCAUCUCCGAAAUCUGAGAUAUCUUUGGAUUUAUGACAUGCCGAAGGAGUUUGCACAACAAAUGGAUCCAAAUAAUGGCCCACAUUAUUGGAUUGUUAGACAUAUACGACAUGUUGUUUUUAGUUACAAGUUUGACCCAGGAUCUGGCGAAUAUGAAAGACACUCCCUGUAUGAUUCCGACUUUUCGUUUUGGUCGAAUGCCUGAUUCCAACUUGAUAAAAAAUAUGGGGGUGUCUAAAUUGUUAGCUCUGCUAUCCUUGUGUAGGUGUGGUGUGGUCAUUUUAACAUUUUCAUUGUAAUUUUAUUGGUGGUUAUAAUAAAUUGUUUUUUUAAUUAAAAAUUAAAAUAAAAAGCUAUCAUCACCUCAAACUCGAAAUGGUCAAAUGACAUGAUAAAAUUUUAUUGAUUUUUUUUUAUGAAUGAAUCAAGUUUUUACAGAAGAUAAGUGGCAACUAUUUACCUCGUAUCUUUGCUGUAAAAAUGAAUAAAAACCGUUCAAAUUUUUGUGGGUCUUGUCCCUUGAUCAACAUUUCAAUUAACUGAGAAAAGUAAUAAGAUUGAAGAACAUGAUUUAGUAAAUUCAACUUAACCUAAAGAUCCAUAUUUUUUUCUAUUUACCAAUUCUUUACUAUUUUAUUUUCUUGAUAUUAAUUUGUAGGAUUGUGGAUUUUAGAAAUUUUGUUAACCAAAGGGUAGAUUGUGAAUUUUAGAAAUGUGAAGUGUAAAGCCUUCUCCUUUUGCAUAUACAGAUUAAGUCAACCACAUAUAUUUAUUAUAGUUAAAUAUUCAUGAUAUGAUAUAUUUGGAAUGACACACCCCGAUCCUAGAAUCAAGACGUUUUGGCCGUCACGUGAGCGUGACGUAACCAAGAAUGCGAUGCGGAAGCAUAAAGGAUAGACGAAAAUACGAAUGAAUAAAAACCAACUACUAGCACUAAUAACCAACUAGCAUACUAGAGUGAGUUUAAGUGUGAAACACACAUGUUCAGAGCAUAAGUACUAGGUACAGUCAAGUAGGAACAUUACUAAAUUACAACACCCGAAGGUGAGUCCUACAUGCAAGUAGUCUGUCAGAACGUCGUGGGAAAAUCCUCGUGAGCCACCAACACAGCUAACUAGAACCUGGAUGGGCGCAAAACAAGAUUGAGUGGGUCAAUAAAACAAAGCUUUUCGAAAACAUUUCAUUUAAUAACAUUUCUAACCCCUCGCUGUAAAACCUGUAUACUUUCCCAGAAAAUAACAUAAUAUGCAUAUAAAUCUUCAAAUAUCUCAAUUCACCAAUCUUUAUCAAAAACCAGAAAGUAUGCCAUGCUGUAAGUGUCAAUAACAGAAUAAGGAUGCAUCAAAAUAACAGGUGAAAUAAGGAAUCAAUCGGAGACCCUGCAGCUGUCCUGUACGGUCAAUUCUAUAGCUCAAUAUCCAAUCCAAUCGGAGUCACCACUGUGACCUGUACGGCGCUACUCUGCACAUAAAUCAGAACUACCUAAAGUAGUCUGUACGAUAAGAAUGAUGUAAGACUACGCUCUAGUGCUUCUCUCAUCAACAACUGUAUAAUAAUCUAAGAUCAUCUAUAAGUCGGAACCACCUCUAAUGGUCUGUACGACAUGUCAGAACCCUCUAAUGGUCUGUACGACAUGCACCUACUUGGAUCCAAGGUGAGCGUGUGGUGCGGGGUGAAUAAUAUAAGCACUAACACCAGGGGUGCAUGUUAUGAGCUCUCAACACAAUUCACAUCAUCAAUAAAUCGUAUGAACAAUAUAAACUCACAUGAUACUCACCUGUGCGUCCACAUCACCAUUUAACAUAUAUAUGCAACAAUUACUAAUUCAUAUAUUUCAUAUAUAUGUAUGCAUGGCAUUUUAAAACAUACUUUCAUUUAAAUUCAAUUUCUAGGAAAAAUCAAUAGUAUAUAGGUAAAUACAGAAAAUACUGCCCACUCACUGGUAAGUCGAAGGGUCGUAACCCCCGUGACGCCCUUGAACGCGCUCGUCCUCGAGAUAGGUCUCACAUAUAUACGAAACAAUUAUAAAAACGUUAUUUAAAUCAUAUAACCAACAAUACGUAAUAACUUCUCAUACGAUACUCAAAUUGGGUAUAUGAAUAUACCAUAGUGACCUACUCAACGUCACGAACGUCGAGGUAUUUUUAGAAAAAAAUUUCAAUGCUGCACGCGCCCCCAUGCGCGUCACCUUCUUCCUCCAGUCGCCGGAUUGGUUUUGUCGGCGUCAGAAAACUGGAGAUUUUUCAAACUCCAAUUUCUCCGUCGAUUCUCCACCAUUUUUUACAAAAUUUACAUCAAAAUGAAACCCUAAGCAUGUAAAAUCACGAUAUACUACUUUAAGGCUAAAAAACAAACGAAAUGUCACCGGAGAAAAUCCAAGAAAACCGGCCAACUUCGAACCCUACGAUCCCGACGUCCAAAACCUUCAAACUAAGUACUACAAGCUUCCUUAGGACCUCACUAAGCUCCCUGUAAUCUUAGAAUUCCCUGAAAAUCAACAUUUCACAUCCACAUGAACAGUACUCAAAACUUGGGGUUCGGGUUUCAGGGGUUUUCGAAGGUUCUAAGUUCCAAAAAUGGUACCAAUGAACUCACAAGCUUUCAAGGAUUCUAAAACUCACCUUUUUUACGUCGAUCCGUGAUGUUUUGAGGGAUUUUGGUGCUCGUCCGUACAAUUCAAAGGGAGAGAGAGAGAGAGAAACUGAGAGGGAAGAGAGAGAGGGCACGGGGUGAGUGUGUUGUCCCGUGUGUGUGUGUGGUCCACCCAAAACAAACCAUAAUACAAAUUCCUUGAAGUCCCUAACCACACAAAUUGUAUACAACUUUUAAUCCACUUAAAAUUUUCCAAUAAUUUAGGAGAGUAUGCAAUAUUCAAACAACAUGUCACACGUACCUUAAUAGCCUUUAAGGGCACUUCCGUCAUUUCACAUCCACGAUAAAUAAAUUUCGGGUCGGGCUGUGACAUGGAAUGCAUAAUAUGCAUUUGUACAUGUAUCCUCGCAUGCAAAUGUAGAAAAAUAGUUCUUUAUGGUUGUUAAAUUUGAUAUACUUAUUUACAUAUGGAAUUAAAAUUAAAAAAAUAAAAAUAAAAAUUGCUUAUUGGCUUAUUUGGCUUGAAAAUUACAAAACUUGAGAUUCUUAUGUCAUUUAGUCUAAACAUUCUAAAAUUAACCAGCUCAUCAUAGUAUCAAAAUUCAACUGCUAAAGGUAACUUUAGAUGCAUCCUAUAAGUCUAUACCCUUAAAACUCCCAUUUAGUUAGGCACAACGAACGAACAUGUAAGGUGAGGGCCCACAAAACAAGCGUUUUGGGGUAGAGGAAUGGAGCCCACCAUUUCGAUUAAGGUUUCACAUCAAGCUUAAUCAAAACUUCUCCGUACAUAUACAUACACAUAUUUAUAUAUAAUCUCUCUCUCUCCUCAUCUGUUUCGGAAUUUUGAUUUCCCAGGAAGGUUUCGAACCCGAUCGUUUCGUCGGAAGUCCCGAAAGCUUUUUGAGAACGGGAGAAUCAGCAAUGGAAUAAGACAUUCCAGAAUAUUAUGAUAUAAAUUACUUUUAAAAUUCGCUGGCUCAUUUGCCUGAAAGCUGGUUCAGAGGGAGGGGGAGAGAGAGAUGGUGGAGUUCGUUAGGGAGGCUUUCGAGGGGGGAGAAAUUGACAUGGACCAUGAAUUCGAUGCGCCCAAGUUCUUCGAUUUCACUCGGCCGGAGACUGGUCUGGAGGCCGAGGAGGCGGAGGAAUGGUUCCUGUCAGGAGGUUAUCAACCCUCGCGUAAGCGAUUUCAAAAACAUUGGUUUGCUGUUCUCCUAGUCAUGUCCCAAAACAACGAAUUUUUUGAUCAUUUUCUAUGCUUACCACAUCAAUUGAUCAUCGAUUUUGCUAAUUCAUUUCAAUAUCUGUAUGUUUAGUUCAUGCAUCUUAACUAUAUUACAUUGUUUACGUGAACAAGUUAGAGAUUAAGAGAAUUAUAAUUAUUUGUAAUUUGAUAAAUUAACCACUAACUCUGUUUUCUCUUCGGUUAAUUGUCCCUUGUUUAAAUCCAUUAGCUUUCCUUGAAAAAUUGUUGAAUUGGCAAAAAGGGAUUCAUCCGGAACCUGUAAAAAACUCCGCCGAACCAAAAGACGUUGAAGAAGUUGAAGUUAUCAGAUGUAUUGACUCAAAUAAUUGCAUGGAAGCGGAGGUCUCUGCAGUAGUAGACGAUAAUAUUAGAGGUACAUUUUCAUUUUUUACUACUGUGUACUUCUGCAUCAUCUUCCCAUUUCUUAUUAAACUUUCGAAUUGAUAAUAUUAUUUCUGUUUUCUAAAUCGGCUUCGCAUGAAUUAGUAUACGAAGUUGUUUCUUACUGUCAUGUUUUAUGGUGUUUCGACACGAUUAGAACUCCCUAUUCACAUGGCUCAAGACACUCCAAGCGCUAAACCAAAGUCCCCGGGCAAGUCACCACCUCUAUCAAGGAGUUCAACGCUAAUGAAACCCACGGCAAGUCAGCUGGCCAAGCAAAAGCACCGCCGAGAAGUUCACUCCAACCGGUUAUUAAGGAGGUGCUAAUUUUUUUUGUCUCAGAUGAUAUUUCUGUUGUCAUCAAUGUAUUUUUGGCUCUAAUUGUUUGGUGUUUCCUCUAACUAGUGCCUUUUUCUGACUCUUGAUUACACAGAGUGGCGAAAAAGCUCGGGAAACUUGAUGAGAAAUCACAGAAUUCUCCACCACCUACGAAAAGACAGAAGUUGGAGGCUGGCUAUGUACGCAAGGUGCACUUGAACAUUUUUUCAUUUGAUAGUUUUUGCAUCUCUGAUCUGUUUGAUCUUUGCUGAAUCGCGUACUUUAUUAUGAUCGAUAUGAGGUUGUUACACUCAAGUCGAAUAGCGUAUUUAAUCCACCCAGUUGCGAUUAACGAAGUUCAAUAGUUUAUGAACCUUUCAUAAGAAUUUCUGAAGGGCUCUCUGUGCAUCUGUGAAGCAGGUUGCUGAACAGCUCAAGCAUCAACCUCUUUGGUUAUACAAGGUGCCGAAAAAGGUAACCCACAUUUUACGAAAACAAGGUUAUGUGCUUUUGAUCGUGAAAAGAACAUUUUUGUUUCAUCGAAAUAAGAGAAAAAUAGUUUUUCGUGGUGUCAUGCAGGUCGGAGCUGAUGCUGCCAGACCUAAAGUUACCGUUUCGAAGGAACCAAAUUUGGAAACAGCAAAUAGAGCACAAAGACGUAGGUACAUUCACUUCUUGCAUGAUUUUGGUAAAAUUAAUAUUUUGUUUGAUGUAUGAAUGUCUACCUAAUGAGCUUAUAACACUGAUUCAGGUAUAAGGUUAAUGCCAAACCAGGAGAACAAUCAAAAGCAAGUUCAUACUCCUUUUAACGUUCAAAUUGAAAUUGUUCAUUACGCUUUGAACACGUUUGAGUUUAUUCGAUUUUCUGCUCUUUUAUUUCUUUGAUAUUUUGGUCUGCAGAUUCACAGGGCUCCUCCAUGGCCUAGCCCGAAAAAGAGCACAAUUCCAGCAACAGAGUUUCAGGUAAUCAUAGAACAUUGUACCGUAUUUCAUUGUAGUGUCUUUGCGAGGGAGAGAAACCUCAGCAAAAGCUGCCCUAGUUAAGCUGUGUGAUUCGGAUGAGACCAAAAUACAUAAAUAUUUAACGACAAGGCCAGCCGCUCCUACUGAAGUUUUCUCUUAGCAAAAUGACUUGACUUGCGGUAACAAACGCAUUUCAUAACGUUCUUAAUUCUAUUGCCAUCAGGUGUUUUGCCUUCCAACAUCAGCGCGAGCUAUGUAACAGACAUGCCAUCAUCACGUAACCCUCCAAAACUUGUCCGAUUAUUUGAAUUUGAACUUUAUUAAUUUUUUGUGAAUUCUUACGACGAAAUAAUAUUGUCACUGCAGGUAACAAAUGGACCUAAUUCUAGUUAUUUAUCAGAAAAUGAGACUACAGAGAUCGAAAGGUAACUAUCUCUGCCUUUUAGCUUUUCAAAUGAAUCCCAUCUUUUGUAAUGUCUGUAUAGUUUUACCUUGCACUCAUGGAAUUUUUCCAUCUUCAAAUUUGAUAUUUACUUUUAAGGUUAAUAAUUUCAAUAGUAAAGAAAAAGGCGAUCCCAAGCCAACGAGGCUUCCCGCUUUACGAAGGUCGAGGGAACGUCUAUCGUACGCGGAGUUAUCCAUGCUUUGCAAAGAGGUUGUUUCUAUAAAUCAAACCCGUGACAUUUCGCUCACAAAUGAGUAAUCUUUCCGUUGCGUCAAGGCUCGCCCUCAAUAAUUCCAAUUAUAAACCCUUAAAUCAAGAAUCAAAACACUUUUGAUUCUUGUUCUAUGUAAGUAAACAUGUCACCGGAUGAGAAUCGUUGCAGCUAUCUAAAUGUUUUGAUAUUACUGUUUUGCACAGGUCAAACUCUGUGUAUGCCUUAAAGCUGGAGAAAAGUGGAAUGGUUUAUAAAUGCGUAGCUUGCUCUCUUAAAACUAAGGUAAUCUAACUCUGCCUCUUUUUUUUUUGUUUUUUAAUGUGCAUAAUCUUAAUGCCAUGCUUUAAAGCAACAAAAUUUUGAAAAACUUAAACUAACUGGUUGAAAAACUUUAACUAACUGGAAGUCUUAAUUGUUUCAGUAACUUUCCAGAUCCGGUCUAUAACUACAGGAACAUCUUCUAGAGUCAAAGUAGUAAAACAACAUCUGAACAUCCUGGUUCUAUAUAUGCAGUGGCAGGCUGAACCAGAACUCACAUUGAUCUCGGCAAUGUUCAACAGCUCAUCCCGUAAGUUCCCCUUUCUCACCAUAGUAGCGAACCAACCCCCUCAUUUCAGCCCAACUAUAAACCAGCACUGCUCUUUGCACACUUGAUGUCGGUCGCUCUCCUUUUUCGUGCAUGCGUUACACGCAUUUGCAGCUUAUGUCGGUCGCUCUCCUUUUACAUGCGUGUGUUACACGCGCUUGACAUAAGAAAAAAAAAAUUGUAAUGGCGUUAGCAUGACGUUAUGCUGACAUCAGCGUGUCCGCUAAUGCAAGAUCGGGCUUCUUUUUCUUUUGGACGGACUUUGCACGGCGCACCAGUUGCCCUUGCAAAAUUGGACAGCUGGAAAUGAUUAAAUGGAUUGGAGGGCAUGUUUUGGGUUCUUAUCCUUGCCUCUACCAACCGAUGAACAUGCUCCAAAGUCAAGAAAUUGUUGUAAAAAGAGGUGGAAUAAUGCCCUUAACUGGUAUUGUAAUGUGGUGGAAUACUUUGUUUAUGUAAAUUUUGAAAUUAUCAGCUGUAUGUCAGAAUUUUUAAUUUGAUAAUUUGAAAGGCUUCAUGAAUUAUAAAGAGGCAGUUGUUUUGUUGGUGAUUUUUAAAAUUAAAGUUGGGUAGGUGUUGAUGCAAAACCAGAGAUAACCCGUUGGCUUUGUUAAAACAAAACAUGCAAUUUACUAGACAAUCCCAGUUGGCGGCAAUGGUUCGCUUGGAGUUCAGAUCUGCUAUGCCCAACCACUCUUUGUCCGCAUCCUCUGUUGACAAGUGUUUUCUAACACUGUCAGCGGGAGAACGAUGACAAAGGGUGGGCCGAGGAAAAUUGGACACAACAAAUAUGAACUCGUUGAUUUUGUUUUAAUUGUUGACCUGACCUAUUGCAACUACAUCUCAACUCCCAGCUCAGCUAUACGUACAUUGUACAUUGUUGACCACCUCUCUAACUCGAAUUCUCAUUCUCAUUUCUCACCGUAGGGAUAAGAGCAAUUUAAUCUGCUCAUAUAUCAGCUAAAUCCAAGGUAUAAACCAGCACUGAUUAAUUACUGAGCAAUUUAAUCUGCUCAUAUUUAAGCCAAAUCCAAGAUAUAAACCAUCACUGAUUAAUUACUGAGCAAUUUUAUCCACCAGUUUUUGUGUUGGGAGAAGACAAGGGGGGGGGGGCGGGUUUUGUGUUGGGAGGAGAGAGGGGGAGAUAAUAAAUCGUCUUUAUUUUUUACUUUAAACAGUAAUUUUUUUUGUUUUAAGUUCUUUUGUUUAGGAAGAAGAAGAACCAGGGUGAUUAUUAUUUACAAUUUUUUUUUUAAUAUUUGGUAUGUGUGUUGAACUUUGUACCAUUUUACCUUGUCACUCAUUUUUUUUGCAACAAAAGGAUUUGUGAAGUGGAAGAAAAAUAUAGGAGAUUGUAGAAAAAAUAAAGGAAGGUGCUAUUCAUACACACAUCUGUACCUCCCACACACUCUUAUUAGUCUUUUUUUAUUGAUCUUCUUCAAUUUAUUCGAUCCGAUAGCUAAAAAUUGAGAGAUGUGUGUGAGAAGCAAAAAUAGGUGCGUGAAUAGCACUAUCUAAAAUAAAUAUUGAGUUGUGGUGUGGUGAAUGAAGAAGGUGGUUAGGUAUUUUUAUUUUUGGUAUUUUUUUGGAUUUGUUAUCUUGGAUUAAUCCUGACCAUUGAUUUUCAAAAUUAUUGUCGUUGGAUGCCAGAGAUUUCUCCAUGUGGCAGCAGAAGAAAAAAUUCAAAAUGUUGUACUGUUUGAAAUCCAACGGUUCACAGCAAGCCACGUCAGCGAGCUGUUGGGGCUCUGCUGUUGGUUUGUUGCUGCGUGGCCUACUAUCCCUGCAGCUGAUAUUUUUCACCCUCCUUUCGGCACACGUGUUACACGUACCUAACAGGAAAAGAAAAAAUAUCGUGACUGGCGUGAGCAUGAUGUUAUGCUGAUGUCAGCUUGCCCACUGACGCAAGGUCAGACUUCUUUUGCUUGGGCAAUUAGACGAGCCAUGUACAACCCACCAAUUGCGCAUCCUCGUAUCCAUAAAAGAAAAAUCGAUAAUAUCGGUGAAAUAUUGUCGAUAUUAUCGUUUUUUUAGAGAUCAGAUAUUUUUUUAACUUUCCAAAUAAUUUUUAUCAAAAUAUCAAGAUAUUAUCGAUAAUAUCGCGAUAUUUUUGAAAUUAUCAACAAUAUCACCACAUAAUACUAAAAAAUACUUAAAUAUGUUGAGAAAACUCAACACAUACUUCACUUGACCAUAGCCCAAAAGACGAACAAGAUAUGGUUUACUGAGUAGGGGAAUGUGGGUUUUAUAGGACAAAUUGCGAGGGCAGCAAGCAUGGGCAAUGUGGGACUCUCCCAAUAGGAGAAAAUCAGAAUUUCGGCCGAAAAUUUACACCUACUUUAAACGGCCAUAACUUUGUCAAAACUCAACGAAAUCAAGCAAGAAAAAAACGAAAGUUGUAGCCCUCGAAGAGAAGAAGAGAAUGGUACCUCACACGACGUCUGAAUCAUCGUGGUUUGGCCGGCAAAUGCCUCGAAAGUCACUGAGAUCGCCGGAAACUGGGUAAGAUUCAAAUGAGUAUAACUUUUUUAAUACUCAACGAAAUUGAGUGAAACAAAAAGGAAAGUUGUACUACUCGACGAGACGAAGAGAUUGAUGCCUUGCACGCCGGCCAACUCGCCGUGGUUUGGCUGGAAAUUGCCUCGAAAUCCACUGAGGUCGCCGGAAAUUGGGUAAGAUUCAAAUGAGUAUAACUUUUUCAAUACGCAACGAAAUUGAGUGAAACAAAAAGGAAAGUUGUAGCCCUCGAAGAGACGAAGAGAAUGGUACCUCAUACGACGUCUGACUCGUUGUGGUUUGGCCGGAAAUUUCCUCGAAAGCCACUGAGGUCGCCGGAAACUGGGUACGAUUCAAAUGAGUAUAACUUUUUCAAUACUCAACGAAAUUGAGUGAAACAAAAAGGAAAGUUGUACUACUCGACGAGACGAAGAGAUUGAUACCUUGCACGCCGGCCAAAAUUCAAUUGACACACUCCUGGCUUCCAAAAUUCAAUUCUUUUACUUUAUAUAAACUUGAAAAAACAUAAUCGGCAUCCAAAUUAAAGUUUAGUCUUGUUCUUAUGUGUAAGAAAUUUAAAGUGUCAAAUUCGGCACAUUAUUUUUCAUCAUUUUAUUCACUUCCCUUUUUUUUUUAAUAUCCUAAAUAAAACCUCCAAAUAUUGUACUAAUUAAUUAUAUAUAAAUGAUUAUGGUGUGUUUAAAUUUCUUUCAUUAAUUACUACAUAUUUUCUACACUCACAAUGUUUGCCAGCUCGCUAUAUAAUCAACUUAAAUCAGUUAAAUCCAUCAUGCAAUGCAUUUCCUUCCAAUUUUUUGUGAUAAACUAAUAGAUAAUUGACUAAAUAAACAUCCUACAAAGUUUCAUUAAAAAUUUCCAAGUUUUUCUUACAAUUUCCGUGGUUUCCAUGUAAUUUUUAUCGAUAUCGAUAUUAUCCCGAUAUUUCCAUCGAUAUUUCCGUGUUUUCGGACUACCGAUAUUUCCGAUAUUACCGAUAUUUUCUUCCUUGCUCGUAUCAUAACGAUUUUGACUUUGAGAUGGUUGAUUUUGACUUCUUGCGAUGUUGUCUUGAUGACGAAGACGACGAUAAUGAAAUGAUUAUUUUUCUUUUUUUUUUUCUAUUAUUUUUAGUAAGAAUUAAUUUCAAACUCUUUUUCUUUAAGAAUAGGAUUAUCUCCCUUUCUAUUUUCAUCUAUUUCCCUCCCCUCCUCUCAUAUAUUGUUUUUUUGUUUUAUUGUCUUUAUAAAAAAAAAAGUAAAAAAAAAUCAAUAUAAGAUGUUGACGUGGUUAAACUGUAACCAUUCAAAUAGGAGGGGAGGGAAGAUGAGAGAUAAGGGAGAGAAUCCUCCUCCUGAAAGAAUAAGAGAGAAGAGGAUACUAAUAGGCAGUGUUUUAAAAAUCUGCCUGGCAACGCCUAGGUGUUACACGACGGCUAGCCAAUGCGAUUAACCCUAGUCGGGAGAAAAAUCGGCAGAGGAAUUAGGCGAGCACCCGAUACGGCCUAGGUAGUGCUUAGGCGGCAUAGAUGGGCAACUCGAUGGCCUAGGCGACCUGGGUGUUUCAGAUAUUUUUUUUUUUUUGGCAGAAGCUGUGUUCUUGUUCUAGGUUCUGUUAUGAGGAAUGGGAUUCUCUUUGGAUUUCUUCCACCAAAUCCACUAAGGCCCGUAAUCCGGCUCUUGGAAUUUGAUCCAACGGUUAAAGUUAUUAUAAUUUUUUGAAAUUUAUUUUUGUUUGUAGCCGUUAGAUCAAAUUUCAAAAAUCCGAAUUGAUUGAUAUGGUGAAUUUAGUGGAAGGAAUCCAGAGAAGAUUCCUUUUCCUAUUAUGGUUCUACGUUUUUUCAAACUGUGUUUCAUUUAAGAAGACGAGAGGAAGAAGAAAAAAGAGAAAUAAAGUUUCUCUCUCUUCCCAUUCCACCCACGUGACAGACAUGACAAUCCACCUUUUUUUUUUAAAUUACUUCCAGUCGAUUCGAAUUGGGAGUUGGAACAGAGUAAGGCCAUCUCCAACCGAAGGGUCCAGAAGGUCAAAAUAGCCCGAAACAAGUCUCCAACCGAGGGCUAGGCCAGAGGGUUCGUGGGCCCCACAAAAUCUAAAUGAGCCAGAGGGCUGGCCAGCCCACUUUGAUUUUUUUUUUCUUUUCACUUGCUCAGCCCGGUUCCCUUUUUGUGUUUUUGUUAUUUCAGCCCACUUUAGGGCCUUCAAUUUUUGGGGUCAGCCCACUUUUUAGUUUUUUUCUUAACAACCCACUUUUUUUUUUGUCGUUUUUUUUAAUUUCUAAUUUUUUCCUACACCAUUUCUCACAUAUUUUUUCACCAUUCCAUACUGUCUUACCUCAUUUUAUUUCAAUUCUUCACAUUUCAUACUAUAGUCUUUUGGCCCUCAGUUGGAGAUGAUUUUUUGUGAUAGGGCUAAAACGAGCCAUUUGGCCCUUGAUUGGAGAUGGAGGCAAAUAUGGCCUUAUAUUGUUUAUUAAAAUCUUAAUAUCUUGGAGAACCAGACGGUUAAAACGAGUCAUCUGACCAGCAUUCGGUUGGAGAUGGCCUAACAUAUAUUGAAUUUGGUAUGGUGUGCCCCACCUGCCUUUUUGGUGUGGUGCGCCCCAUCUCCGUUUUGAUAGAGAUAAUGUACAAAUAGGAUUGUGACACUUGUAAUCAGAUUAAGAGAGUUAGUUAUAGUUGUUAAGAAUAUGCAACUGUAAGAAGGUUCAAGGAUAAAUACUCUCCUAGUGUAAUAUCUUAGAUAUUAAGCAAAGAAAUAAGAAAUAUAUCUCUCUCUAUACAUUUCUCUCUCGACUUCUCUCUCUAAGAUCUUUGUCUAUGAUCUACUUCUUCUUGGUUUACAUGGUAUCAAUCGCCAUUGUUGCUCCCGCUGUUUUCUUCGAUUCUUCGGUUGCUUCCGCUCAUCUUCUCAACCUGUGAUUCUUUCUAUUCCUCGACGUCAACUCAUUGCUGUGUGCUUGGAUGGAUUCUGGUAUUCUUUUCUUCUUCUAUGAUUUCUUCUGUGAUUUAUCGGGUUUCUGGAUUUCUUGAUCUUCUUGCAUCUGUGUUCCAAGAGUGUGCACACCAGGUGUUUGUGAUAUUUCCUCUCUCGAAUUUCUAUCUUCAUUCUGCAAAUAUGGUGACUGCAUCUCAAUUACAAAUUCUCCAAUCGCCUAUUACUGCUCUUAUUUCUACACUUUCCACAUCUGUCAAUGUUAAGCUUGAUGAUUCAAACUAUCUCAAUUGGCACUUUCAAAUGCAAUUAUUGCUGGAAAUUAAUGGAAUUAUGGGGUUUGUUGACGGCUCAACACCCUGUCCUGCUCGAUUUGCACCUAAUUCUGGUGACUCUGGAGUUAAUUCUGCUAACUCAUCAUCUGCUACAGAAACAGGUGAAUAUAUUGUUUGGAAAUUACAUGAUCGUGCAUUUAUGCAGCUUGUCACUGCCACAUUGUCCCUAGUAGCUAUGUCAUGUGCAAUUGGUAGUUCUAGUUCUCGAGAUUUGUGGACUAGGCUUAAGGAACAACUUUCUACUGUUUCCAAGACUAGUAUUUUUUUAGAUGAAGUCAAAUCUUCAAACAAUUAAGAAGGGGUCAGACUCUGUAACUCGAUAUUUACAGAAGAUCAAAGAAGCGAGGGAUUAUUUUUCUGCUGCUGGUGUAUUUCUUGAUGAUGGAGAUAUUAUUAUUCUGGCUCUCAAUGGUUUGCCUCCGGAGUAUAAUACAUUCAGAACGGUUGUUAGAGGCCGAGAAAGUGUUAUGACCAUUAAAGAAUUCUGGUCUCAACUACUUGCUGAAGAAGCAAUUGUUGACAGUCAUCCUAAUGUCCCUUUUCUUUCUGCGAUGGUUGUCAAUACCUCAUCUCCAUGAACAAAGGAUCUCCUAUGUCUCAUCAGUCAUUUAACUCUGAUGGUGGCCAUUCAUAUAAUCAUACUGGGGGUCAGCCAUAUCUUGUAUCUGGAGGAUUCAAGCCGUAUACCAACAAGAACAAAGGUAAUGACAAGUUCAAUGGAGGACAGAGAUACUACACUCCUCGGCCAGUGUAUCAUACACAAACCCAUGUCUUGCCUACACCUACUCCUGGUGUCCUUGGUUCAUCUCCUAGUUAAUUUGGGAAUCCCUCAGCACCUUCAUUGCAGACUUGUCAAUUGUGUAAUGUUGAAGGUCACACUGCACCUUAUUGUUACAAUAAGUCUUCUGACCGCCAACAAUGUCAAAUAUGUGGCAAGUUUAAUCAUACAACUUGGUAUUGUUUUUACAAUGAAAAAGUGCCUUUUUAUAUGGGACCUCAGUUUUUUCAACGGGCAGGUGCUCCAAUGCAGGGAUACUCUUACAAUGUUCCUCAUGUGUUGAAUGGUUCCUAACCUUUUUCACUGUAAGCAAUGAAUACUGUCUUUUCUCCCGCAUCUCAACAUUCACAUAUGGGGUCUAUAACAUCUACCUCUCAGUCACCACAAGUAUGGUUGACAGAUUCAUGAGCUACUACUCAUAUGACAGCUGAUCUUAACAAUUUGUCCAUAGCUUCUCCAUAUCCCAGCAAUGAAGUUGUUCAAACUGCCAAUGGUGAAGGUUUGAGAGUUUCUCACAUUGGCAGUUCCAUUCUUACAACUUCUAAAAAUCCUAUCAAAUUAAAUUCCAUUCUUUAUGUUCCUAAAUUGACACAUAAUUUAUUGUCAGUUCAUAAGUUCUGUUUGGAUAACAAUUGCUGGCUAAUCUUUGAUGCAUUUUACUUCUGGAUGUAGGACAAGGUCACAGGGAGAAUCAUGUACAAGGGCCCUUACAGUAAUGGACUCUAUCAUAUCCACUCACUCUCUACUAGCUUCCAACCUUCCAAAUCUUCCAAUGUUGCUUAUCUUGGACAUCUUGUUGGUUCCAGCUUAUGGCAUACUAGGUUAAGACAUCCAUCCAAUAAUGUAGUUUCCUUACUCCUUAAACAAGCAAAUAUUCCAUGUAAUAAGGAUGUUGUUUCCACUGUGUGUCAAAGCUGUCUCGAGGGAAAAUUUACAAAGUUACCAUUUCCUUCCACUCAUGUCAAGUAUGUCAUACCAUUUCAAAUUGUUCACAAUGACCUUUGGGGUCCUGCACCAUGUAUUUCCAUUGAUGGUUAUAAAUACUAUGUUACUCUCACUGAUGAGCGCACUCGGUUUUGUUGGUUGUUUCCCUUAUAGAAUAAAUCUGAUUUCAUUGAUGUGUUUGUUACAUUCUGUGCAUUUGUCUCCACUUAGUUCUCUACUUCUGUGAAAAUACUACAAACUGAUUGGGGGGUGAGUACAUUAGUAAUAAGUUACAAACCUUUCUGCAAUCUAAAGGUAUUGUACAUCAUAAAUCUUGUCCCUAUACACCUGAACAUAAUGGGUUAGCUGAGAGGAAACAUAGACAUAUCAUUGAAACUACUGUCACAUUGUUACAAUAUGCCAACCUUCCUUCUCAAUUCUGGACCUUUGCUUGUCAAACAACGAUUUACCUAAUCAAUAGGAUGCCAACACCAGUCUUACAAAAUCAAUCUCCUUUUCAAGCAUUGUAUGGACAUAAUCCUGUCAUUACUCAUCCAAGAGUAUUUGGUUGUUCUUGUUAUCCUUUACUUAGACCUUACAACACAUCCAAACUUUAAGCUAAGACAACCAAGUGUGUUUUUCUGGGGUAUACUUCCAAAUAUAAGGGUUAUAUCUGUUAUGAAGUGUCAAAAGAAAUUUUUUUUGUCUCCAGACAUGUUCUCUUUAAUGAGAUUGAGUUUCCUUAUCUUAGUCUCCUCCAAUUGUCCAAACAAACAAGUACUUCACAUAUCUCUUUUCAACCUUCAUCUCUUACACCAGUUUCUAAUAAUCAGAAUAUUUUGGUAGUGCCUAUUCCUCAGGCUCCUUCCCCAAUCUCUCCACUUGUUAUUCCAAUCCCUGACUUUAGUGUCUUUGUCUCUAGUCCAGUUGUUCAUUCUCCAAACCUGGUUGCAUCACCCUCAUUUUCCUCAUCACCUACUUCUCCAUCAUUACUGCUAUAACAAGUGAUACUAUUCCACUCCUUGUGGAUCCUGAGUUUAGUCCAGAUAGUUUGCAAGUGGUGUUACCUAUUGCACCAUUGAAUAUGCAUCCUAUGCAAACUAGGGGUAAGAAUGGUAUAGUCAAACACAAGGCUUUCUUGAGUGCUUUAGAGACAUCUGGAGAAGUUGAUAUGUCUCUCAUUGAACCGAUUACAUAUAAGUCUGCUAUGAAAUCAUCUAUGUGGUUAACUGCUAUGAAGGAAGAGAUUGAUGCCCUUCAUUCUCAAGGUACUUGGUCUCUUGUAUCUCUUCCAUCUCAGAAAAACCUAGUAGGAUGUAAAUGGAUCUUUAAAAUCAAGAAGAAUUCUGAUGGUUCUAUUGCACGACACAAAGCUCGAUUAGUUGCAAAGGGAUUCAGUCAAGAUGAAGGAUUGGACUAUAGAGAGACAUUCAGUCUAGUGGUUAAGCCUACCACAAUGAGACUAGUCUUAGCCUUAGCUACUCAGUUUCAUUGGUCUUUAAGGCAGCUUGAUGUGAAAAAUGCAUUUUUGCAUGGCAUCCUGCAGGAAGAAGUUUACAUGGCACAACCACCUCGAUAUGCAAUCCCUGUGCAUCCUCAUUUUGUUUGCAAGUUACAUAAAUCUUUAUAUGGCUUGAAGCAAGCCCCAAGGGCCUGGAAUGAGAGAUUCACAACAUUCAUUCCUUCCCUCGGGUUCAACACAACAUAUUCAGAUUCAUCUCUAUUUGUGAAGCAUGUUGGUUCUGAGAUAGUGAUCUUACUUCUUUAUGUUGAUGACAUAAUCUUAACUGGGAAUGCUACAGCUGCUAUACAACAAGUAAUUCAUUCUCUUACUACUGAGUUUGAUAUCAAGGAUUUGGGUACACUUCAUUAUUUUUUGGGCAUUCAAAUAUCUCGCACAGCCACUGGGUUGUUCUUAUCACAGACCAAGUACAUUCAAGACUUGUUGCACAUGACAGAAAUGAGUGAUUGCAAACCUUGUGACACUCCAUGUUUGCCUUAUAAUCGAUUGCUGAAGGAUGAUGGGGUUCCAUUUUCAGACCCUGGUACAUACAGAAGUAUAAUUGGUGUUAUGUAGUACCUAACUUUCACUCGCCCAGAUAUUGCAUUCUCAAUACAUCAAGUGUCCCAAUUUAUGCAACAACCUAUGGUCUCUCACUACACUGCUGUCAAACGCAUUCUGCGUUAUUUGAAAGGAACAUUGUCUUCUGGUAUUACUUAUGCUGCUGGUGAAAUUGGUUUAAAAGCUUUUAGUGAUGCCGACUGGGCCGAUGAUCCUAAUGACAGACGAUCUACAACCGGGUUAGUUGUUUUCUUGGGAUCAAAUCCAAUCUCAUGGUCUUCUAAGAAACAACAAACGGUCUCUCGAUCGUCCACCGAAGCAGAAUAUCGAGCCAUGUCCUUUACUGCUGCUGAACUUGAUUGGAUUCAACAACUUCUUACAUUCCUGAACAUUCAAAUGUCUUGUGCUUCUGUGCUUUUCUGUGAUAACUUGUCUGCAAUUGCUCUUUCAUUUAAUCUGGUUCAACAUCAAAAGACCAAGCAUAUUGAAGUAGAUGUUCAUUUUGUUCGUGAAAGGGUUGCUAAAAAGUAGUUACUUGUGCAGUUUGUAUCUUCUCGAGAGCAGUUUGUAGACAUCCUUACCAAAUGUCUCAGUGCACCACUCUUUCGAACUCACUGUAGCAACCUCAUGCUUGGUUCUUCUCCCAUCCAUGAGUUUGAGGGGGGAUGAUAGAGAUAAUGUACAAAUAGGAUUGUGACACUUGUAAUCAGAUUAAGAAAGUUAGUUAUAGUUGUUAAGAAUAUGCAACUGUAAGAAGGUUCAAGGAUAAAUACUCUCCUAGUGUAAUAUCUUAGAUAUUAAGCAAAGAAAUAAGAAAUAUAUCUCUCUCUCUAUACAUUUCUCUCUCGACUUCUCUCUCUAAGAACUCUGUCUAUGAUCAACUUCUUCUUGGUUUACACGUUUCUAUAGACUAAGUCUACCACAUAUUUGACACCUUUAGUUUUCUUUUAAAUUCACCAUAUAUUCAUAGUCUUAGAAAAAUAUUUAAUAGGCAAUACAAUCUUAUAAUUAUUUGAAUUUUCAUCUCAUACUAUUAAAUUCAUUAAAAUAUUAAAUAUAUGUAAUACAUUUAUUUAAAUUUAUCUAAAUUCGACCAAACGAUGGACUCCAACUUACCGUUUAAUUAGCGCCUAAUAUUUUUUAAAACUUUAGUAAUAGAAAAGGGGAGAAUUUUACUCUCAACAGUUUUAGUUCAGAUUCCAUCAUGAAUUAACUACGGAAAAUGAAACAAACUUUGCAUUGUGCAUGGUAUUCAAGAUCGAUCGAUGGCAGAUUUGAAUCAAAGAGGAAAUCACAUGGUUUAGAUUUCAUUGUGUUACGUCUGCAACCCUAUCAAGACGAAUACAAAAAUAACCAAGCACGGAUUGUUGAAAAGCAAAUUGUCCACUGGUUUCCUUGAUUCAGGUUGCUAUGAUUUACUUAAGUGGAUUGGACAAAUGUAGGGCCUAGAUUUAAUCUAUCUAUAUAAGGCUUAUAUGCCUUUAUAUUAUAGACAAGUGUCUUUGUAUUGUUUAAAAGAGGAUAUUUUCUUUUGUAAGUGUUGACCUUAAAAACUACCAAGCCUACGUGGCGCACUGACCGAGUAAUUAAUGAGCUAACUACGUCCUUUGGUUGAUGCGGGGCGUGCCAACUCGUCGGCCGAGCUCGGCCGAGGAGUAAAAUGUGUUGAUGUUGCGUUGAGCGCGCGGCUGACUUCUCGAUCUUGCGACUGCGGUCGAGAAAGGAACACGUCACGACCUUUGGGUUCUAGAGCCUGAAGACAAGGCUGCUAAUUUUGCGAAGUUCACAAAUCGUCGGCACCGGAUUCGAUCACAGUGAUUAUAUUUGUAAGGGUAUAAGCAUGUUGAAUCGACACAAGAGUAUAGGGGCACAUAUACUCAAAACAAAUAUAUGUCUUGAUGGUAAAUGUGGUUCGGCUGUCAGAAUGCCGAACUCUAAAGCUUACUUGUGAGUAUCCAAUCAUAAAUCAACUCGGCGUUCAAUGUGCCGAGCCCUAAUAAACUGUAACACCUCACCUCGCCGAAAAAGCUAAUGAGAUGACCUCUGCCAAUAAAGACCCGAAAGUCUUUCUCGACCAAGACUUGGAUAGAUAACCAGUUGGCCUCGACGCAGUGCUGUUUAUCCAAACUAAAAGUGUUCCGCGGUCGGUUGGUUCUACGGCGAUAGUGCUGUUUAUCCAAACUGAAGGUAUCACCGGUUGCCUUCACAAUGCUGUUUAUCCAAACUGAAGAUGUGUUGGCGGAAAAAGAAAAUAAAAAAUCUCAAGGUUGUUGAGAGAGUUUGCGUAGGGCAAUUUGUGUGUUGAAUUGGAUUGGGCUUUGAAUGAUGUACCCCUCCCUCUAUUUAUAGUAACAAACCUUCUUUUGAUCGAAUUAAACCUUUACUCGGAUUAGGACUCUUUACGCCGAUCCAAUCUCAUCUCGGCCAGUCCUACUCCUAUUAGGACUUUGAACUCAACCCCUUAUCAGGCCAUAUUCAUUCCCAAGUUUCAGCAUCCUCAUCCUGCAAAGACUCCUUAUUGUAUCAGGAUUCAACUACCCCAUCCUGAUAGGACACGGCCAGCCCCUGAACAACGCUUCCGGGCCGAGAACGAUUCUAAACUAGGCCCAAACCAGUAUUUUGGGCCCAAACAGUAAUGAAUGGAGGAGGAGGAUUCUCUCAUUUCCUAAUCUCUCUCCCCUUCCUUUCCCUUCUACUUGAAUGGUUACGGUUAAAUCACGUCAAUAUUUUAUAUUGUUUUUUUUAUAAAGACAAUAAGGCAAAAAGUAAAGUGUGAGAGGAAGGGAAGGAAAAUGAUGAGAAUAGGAGAUGAGAGAAUCUUACUUCGUCUGGGCACUGCUAUGAUCCAUGCAGCAGUAGUAGCCUUUCAAUUCAACUAGGGGCGGAGCCAAAGGUCAUUAUGUGUUGAUGAGGUGGGAGAUGGAUUGUCUACCCUCUCCAUCCCAUACCCUUCACAUCCUCUCCUAUUUCUGUGGUCACGGUUAAGCCACGUCAACAUUUUAUAUUGAUUUUUUUAUAGAAAUAAUAAGACAAAAAGCAAUGGGAAUAUAAAAUGUUGAUGUGGCUUAACCGUGACCACAGAAAAUAGGAGGGGAUGGGAAGGGUGUGAAAUGGGGAGGGCAGACAAUUCAUCUCCGAUGAGGUGUGGGGUUCCUUGGCUUCAUCCUCCAUGGCAUUCUUUUGUGGACUAUGUGGCGGCCCACUGACGGGGGAAAUUUAUUUUGUGAUGGUUAAAAAGCUCUCUUGCGGUUACAUCCUAUUGUAUAUGGUGUGAACGGAAUAAACGCAUGUUUAACAAUCAUAAGAAAAUUUUUGCUGCUCUUCUUCAAUCGAUCACUAAUAUAAUUCGGUGUCGGCUGUGUACUUUGCAUGUUAAGCCCUCAACCAUUUACAUGACGAUCUUCCAAAGUUGGAAUGCUGCUGCUCCUUAGGCUCUAGGCUUUCUUGUCGUCUUCCCUUGCGUGGGUUAGGCUUUGUUUUGGGAUUGUUUCCCCUUUGUUUUGUUGGUGCUUUGAGAGUUUCUCUCUGCUUGUUCCAUAUUCUCAUUGGGCUUUGCCCUGUUAAUAUUACUCUUUAACAAAAAAAAAAACUUCAUAUAUAUUUGUUAGUGUAUUGCAUUUGAACCUAAUAAACAGUUAAGAUAAACUAAAUUACAACAUUCUUCUUCUACUUCUUCUAAUUUCCUAUCAUUUGUCUUCCUUUUCUCUCUUUUUGUUUGUGACUCUAUUUUGCGCAUCAUGUUCUCAAUGAAAUACUUUAGUUGAAAAGCUUGGCAGGGCUUCAACAUUACUUCAUAGUAUCAUGCAUCUACUAUCGACAAGCCUCUACAAAUAAUAGCAAUUGUCAACAUAUGUGACAUAAAUUUUCGACAUAUGUUGAUAGAAAUUGGCACAUGCUUACUAGAUGCUUGAUCCAAUGAAGGUUUUUUUUGUUUGUUGAUAUUAUAAUCACAUUAUUCUAAAAUCUUGACUACGCCACUAAAUUCAACUCCAAAAGUUUCCAUCUCUUUCACCUUUUACACCUUUUCUUCUUCUUGACUUUUCCUCUUUGAUUUAGAAAAACGAAAUAACACAGAUAGUGUUGAAACCUGAUUCCAUAACAAAAGCAAUAGAGGUAAUUGGUUGUACGAGGGAAGAAAAAAAUGAUAGAAGCAAUCGUAUAAAUUAACAUCACUAGUCAUCACCACAGAAGCAAAACUUUCAACAACUCUUACAUUUAUUACCAUGCCGAAACAAUUCCAACGGGAUGAGGAUCCGAAAAAUGGCCGAUAUUAUUGGGUUGUUGAGCUUAUACAAUAACAAAUAAUAAAAUCUUAUUCCACUAAGUUGAAUUGGUUAUAUGAAUUCUAGAACAUCAUUGUGCUCGAUUUUAUGUCAUGUCUUCUAUUAGAUUCAAAUAGUCAAAAUCUUUUCUUAGGAUUGUUGAGCUUAUACGAGAUGUACCUCAAAAUUGUUGAGCUUAUACGAGAUGUUAUUUUCAUUUACAAGCUUAAGAGUUAUUAGGACAACAUGCAGCAUAUACAAGAUUCACGACCGGUGUGAUUCCGGCUUGUGAAGGCGAGCCUAUGCACAUGUGAGUCGUACUUAACACUAGAAUGCCCUGCACCCAAGGUAUUAAAUAUCGAUGAUAUCGGAAAUAUCGGUAGUCCAAAAACACGGAAAUAUCGAUGGAAAUAUCGGGAUAUUAUCGAUAUCGAUAAAAAUUAUAUGGAAACCAUGGAAAUUGUAAGAAAAACUUGGAAAUUUUUAUUGAAACUUUGCAGGAUGUUUAUUUAGUCAAUUAUCUAUUAGUUUAUCACAAAAAAUUGGAAGGAAAUAUAUUGCAUGAUGGAUUUAACUUAUUUAAGUUGAUUAUAUAGCGAGCUGGCAAACAUUGUGAGUGUAGAAAAUAUGUAGUAAUUAAUGAAAGAAGUUUAAACACACCAUAAUCAUUUAUAUAGAAUGAAUUAGUACAAUAUUUUACACUUUAUACAUUGCAUGGUAAGAUACAUGAGUGACUUAGUACCACAUAGAGUUCCUAUGAGGUUCAAAUUUUUCACUAUCUUCAUGGUAAAAUGGAUGACUUAAUACCACAUAGAGUUCGACUUAGCAAAAUGGGAGGGGUUCGAAUCCCCUUGGUGUUUUUUUAAAUAUAGAAAUUUAUCCUAGAUAAUAAAUAUUAGCUUUCAAGCCUUGCAGACAUCUUAACGACCAUAUAAAUAUUACAGGCUGAAUAUGUAAUCACAAACCAAGGUUCUAAAAAAAUUUUAGGCGCUAGUCGGGCGGCGGGUAAAGGCCUAGCGCCUAGGCGGCCUAGGCGGAUUUAUAUAAAUUUAUUAUAUAUCUUCUAAAUAAAUGCUUAUUUACACUAAAAAAAUAUACUUGUAUAGAUAAUAAAAGAAUUAUAAAAUACAAAACUAAUACACAAAGUACAUCUCCAACCCUUGGGGAUAAAACUUAAAAAUUUAAGCCAUAAAAUUUUAAGUCAUACCUCAGAAGUUGUUUUUCUCCUCCAACCCUUAUGACUUAAAAUUUUAGUCUGAAAUUAUUAAAUAAUGAUUUUAGCCUAAUUUUUUCUUUUUGGUAACAUUUUUGAAAAUAAAAUAAAUAUAGAUUAUUUUAAUUUAUUUUUAUGAACAUUUUAUUAUAAAAAUAUAUAAAUUCCAAUAAGUAAUUAAAAAUCAUACAAAUGCGUAGGUAUUUAUAAAGUUUUAAGUUAAAUUUGAUUUAAAUUAUUUUCUUAAAUGAUUUUAGACGUUAGAUUUAAUUUUGGGCCGUCAAAUCUUUUUUUACUAUUAGAUUUGAUCUCAUUUGAUCAUAGCGGUUAGAUUAUAAGUAACAAACAAAACAAAGUUUGAAAUAUGACAGUUUAGUGGAUUCAGAAUAAUUUAAGCCAGGCAUGAGAAAAUUUAGCCCAGGGAUAUAUUUGCUUCCUAGGGCUUAUUUUAGCCCAAUAGUUGGAUAUGGUUUGGGGAGAUUUUAAGCUUUAUGCCAUAAGUUGGAGAUGGUCUUAGUGAAUAAGAAGCUAGUUUGAAAUUGUUGGAAUGAGUAUCCUCUCCGAAUUCUUUUUGUGAGGAUCCUGGAGAUCCUCAAAUCGUGUCUGUUCAUCAUACAUCGUGCAUCUAGAAAUCAUUUUAAAUACUUUUAUUUUAUAUUAAAUAUGAAUAGUACCUGACUAAAACUGACCAUACAAUAUACGAUCAACAGACAUGAUUUGAGGAUCCUCCUGGAAAUUGUUGUGCAUUUUAAAAAACUGUUUUUGUUGUGCUGUGUGUCACAGCCCGUCCCGAGAUAUCUAAUUUCGACGGCGUGAGAUUACUUAUUUACCCUGGAUGUGUUGUGUGGUGGUGUGGUAGGUUAGAAUUUGGACCAAUUAGUGCUACGUCCUAUUAUUUUGGAACCAAUUAGGACUUAGACUCUCUCUCUCUCCUCCUUCACAGAUUUUUCUGAAAAUCCGUACAAUUGUACGCACGAACUUGGAACCAACCCUUUCACGCACGAAUCAACGUCAAGAAGGUAAGAUUCAAACUCCUUGCAAGUCUCUGAGUUCAUAUAUGCCAUUUUUAGAUCUUGAAACCCUCAAAAUCCCGAGAAACCAUAACCCCAUAUUUCAUGCACUGUUCAUGCACUAAUUAAUGUGAGGUUUUUAGGAGUUUUUAAAGACAUAAGGAGCUUUGAAUCAUCCUUACGAAGCUCAGAGAAGAAAAACCAAGCGAUUUGGAUGUCGCGAAAUCGAGUUUGACAAGUUUUAAGUUUUCGCCGGAUUAUCGAGCUCUCUUCGGUGAGUUUUCGUGGAUUUCAAGCCUUGAAAUUGGUAAGGAUGUGUUCUUCUAGUUAUAAGCUUUAAAUUGAGACCAAUUUCAUGAGUUUUGGUUAAGAAAUGACUGAGAUAUCAAGGUUUUUCAAAUUCCCAGUUUUCCGACGACGGCGACGGUCACCGGAGUCGAAGGAAGAAAACGAGCGAAUAUUCCGUCAACUUUAACGGAAUAUUCUAAAGGCGUCAGGUUAGUUUUAACGGUAUAUGCUAUUAUUUAACGGAAUAUUCCCUAACGCCGUUAGGGUUACCGUCAGUGUGCCUGGCACGUGCCCGCGCGUGGGCGGCGCGUUUGGCAGUGCCUUGGCUAGCACGUGACGGCGCGUGGGUGGUCGAAAUUUUUUUCGAAAAAUAUGGGGAUGUUCGUGAGGUUGUGUAGAUCACGUUGGUAUAUUCAAACAUCCCAUUUGAGCAUUGUAUGAGAAGUUAUUAGCUAGUAUUGGUUAUGUGCUUUAAAUAACGUUUUUAUAGUUGUUUCACAUAUAGGGGAGACUUAUCCCGAGGACGAGCGCAGUCAAGGACGACUUGGGGGCUACGACCCUUCGACAUACCAAUGAGUGGGCUUUUGGUUUUCAGUAUAUAUUUAUAUACUCGAUAUUUUUCCAGAAAAUGCGUUUAAAUGAAAGUAUGCUUUGAAAUGUCAUGCAUAUAAAUUUAUAUUCUGAAUAUGAAAUAGUAUAUGAUGCAUAUGUAUGAUUGUGGUGUUGUGGACGCUCAGGUAAGCCCAGGUGAGUUUAUGAAUUGUGAAUGUGAAUAAUGGUUGUAAUUAAUUGAGAAACAUUGAACUCAUAAACCUGCACCCUGGUAUUAGUGAUUAGCCAAAGAUAUGGCACAUGCAUGUAUAUAAUGUCACCUCUCACACCAUAUGCUCACAUUGGAUCCAAUUUAGGUGCACAGUCUUGUCGUACAGACCAUCAUAGGUGGUUCCGACUCGUAGGUGACUAGCGUUUUAUCACAUAGCUAUCAUGAAUGCGUAGCAUUGAGCAUAACUAUAUUACACCCAGUCUUGUCGUACAGACCUUUUCAGUGGUUCCGACUCGUGUGCAGUGUAGUGCCGUAUAGGUCAUUUGCAGUGACUCCGGCUAGAUUGACUAAUGAGCUAUGAAUUCAACCGUACAGACUUCUGCAGGGGUUCCGGCUAAUAUGUUAUUUUCCAUGAAUUUAUUUUCACCUAAGUUACUUAUUCUGUUUUAUUUUUGGCAUGGCAUACUUAUGAUUAUGGAUAUGUGAAGCAUGAUUUGAAUAUAUAUAUUUAUAUAUUUAUAUUCUAUUUAUGGGAAAAUUAUACGUGUUUUACGGCAAGGGGUUAGAGCAUUGUUAACGAAAUGAUUUUGAAAAGCUUUGUUUUUGCCCACUCACACUUUCUGUUUUGCUCCUCUCCAGGAUUUAGGUAGACUUGUUGUUGGUGGCAUUUGAGGAUCUCGGUGGUUCUGACAAAAUAUAAUAUUAGUAGGACAUCUUAUGGUACUAUAUAACUAGUACUUGUCCUACUGGACUGCACCUAGACUUUCUAUGCUCUGAUUAGGUGUAUUUACACUUGUAUCUCAUUCCUAGCACUUUCUGCUUAUUAGUGCACAUUAGUAGCUUUCGGUUUUUAAUUAUUCGUAUAUUUCUUAUCCUUAUCACUUCCGCACUAUGCACAUAACUACGUCACCCUCACGUGAUGGCCAGCACGCCUUGAUUUUGGUCGGGGUGUGUCAUGUGACAAUAAAUAGCUGUAAAAUAAAGUUGUUGAGUCUUUGGUAAAUUUUUUUUUUUUUUUGUAAAAGUACUUUUAUUUAAAAAAAAAUAGUGUCUAAGUGUUUGGUAAAUUUUUAUAUAAAUUACUUUGAAUAUGUUAAAUGACUAAAAAUGAUAUGGUAUUUAAUUUGAUAUAAUAAUUUUCAAAGACAAUAAUGUAAAGACAAAGAUUGUAAUUUUGUAAAACAUGUUGGGGUAUUUUUGUCAUUUGAAAAUUUCAUUAAAUGAGCAUUGAUUACUAUGCUUUGAAAAAAAACAAUUUUUUUUAAAAUCAUGAUAGACCUUGAUUCUUCUUUUCUACUAUCAUUAACAGCACUUAAAAAAUAUUUUUUAUUUUAUGAAACACAUUUUAUAUUUCAAAUUUUGUAAUAAGCUUUUUUUUAUUAUUUAUAAACUCUACAAUCCCAAAGUAACUCUUAUAAAAAAAAUUAAAAAAAAUAAGUUCACCAAUGUGGCGUUUCUAUUGUAAUAAUUAGCAGAUGAGCACAUACUCUUUGUGUGUGAACAAUUUCAUUUUAGUUUUUGUUAUUGAUUAAUGAGUGUGAUUAGUUUUUAAAAUUUUAAAAAGAGUAUGGAAUAAUGAUGAUGAGAUAAUUUCUCUUGAUAAAUGCAUAUUUUUUCUUUAUAAUUACUGUUUCGUCCUCCUUAAUAGGAAAAAAGGGCAAAAGGUUCAAAAGAUAUAAAAUUACUAUUUUACCUUCCUUAUGUAAACUUUGUGUAUCAAAAGUAAGAGCAAAAUAAAAUUAAAAAGUUGCAAAAUAUUAAAAAGAAGGGUAAAAGACUGUUUACUACCCUAAUGUUUCGUGGUUUUCAACAUUUAGUACAUCAAGUUGGGUGGCUAGCCACCAAAUGAAGUUGAAUAAUAGUGCCAAAUUGGGUGGCUAGCCAACGCCAAGCACAUUGUGCAAAGUCACAACUAGAAAAUAAGUGGUCAAUAGAUUCAGAAUUCUUGUGACAAAGUUGGCACUAUUAUUCAACCUACGGGCUCCCUCUCUGAUCUAUGGCUUGAUUUUCUGUCAAAGCGGUUUUCUCCACAUCUUCGCAAUGUCUGGCUAGCUUCAGGGUUUUUCUUACUCAUGGCUAUUUGGAAGAUGCGUAAUAAAGUGAAGUUUGAAGGCAAACCUCCCUCCUUCUCACGUCUCUGCCGCUCCACCUUGGCCUGGAUUAGGCAGGUUGGAGCUCUCACCCCUGGACAUGUACGAGGCAUUUUGGACCGGCAACUUUUAGUCUCUCUUGGAAUAUCGCCUAACCCCUGUAAAGCCCCUUCUAUUGUCCCUGUUCUUUGGCACCCCCCUCCUUCUUCUUGGAUCAAAGUGAAUACUGAUGGCCUUGCUAAAGGUAAUCCGGGUCCUGCGGCUUGUGGCGGGGUUUUUCGAGAUUCUAUGGGUUACUUUCUUGGUGGUUUCUCCCUAAGCUUGGGCCAUCGUACUUCUUUCUAUGCGGAGCUCCAUGCUGUCAUCCUUGUUGUCGAAUUGGCCCACGCGCAAGGCUGGAAAAAUUUAUGGCUUGAAAGCGACUCUUCGAGUGUAAUAUCAUGUUUUGCUUCUGGAUCUUUCUCUCCCCCUUGGUCGCUCCAGACACGCUGGAACAAUUGUACUCUCCUUUUGCAGAACAUGGUUUUUCGUUGCUCUCAUAUUUUUCGAGAAGGGAAUGUUGUUGCUGACAAAUUAGCCAAUUUAGGGCUUCUAUCAUCUUCACUUGUCUGGCAUUCCACUCCCCCAAUUGAGAUCCUCCCUCCUCUGCACUCAAAUUUCUUGGGCAUGCCAACCUACAGGUUUGUCUCCUCUUCUUGAUGUGUCUUCUCCUUUCUUUUCCUAACCUUUUUGGAUUCCCUUUUGUUUUGCAGUUUGUUUUGCAGGUUAUUACCUUUUAAGGUUUAUAGAAGGGUUUGGGCUUAUGUCCGCCUAGUCUUUUCCUUGUAUUUUCUUUUUCCAAGAGGGGUACGGUCUAUGUCCCCCCUCUUUUUCUGGCAUUUCCUUUCUCAAAAGGGGUAAGGUGCAUGUCCCCCCCUUUUCUUUUGUAUUUCUUUUCUCUUGUUGUAUGAGGGGUUAGGUUUAUGUCCCCCCCUGUCUAGGUGUAACUUCUUUUUUCUUAUCAAUAAAAUUCCCUCGUACCGCCGAGGUUCUCCAAAAAAAAAAAAAAAAAAAAAAAAAAAAGGAAAGGAAGGAGGAAGGAAGGAAGAAGCAAAAAAAAAAAAAAAAAAAAAAAAAAAAAAAAGCAGAAAGUUGCAGUCGGAGGAAGAAGAAGAAGAAAGAAGAAGAAAAAAGAAAAAAAAAAAACGUGGAUGACACGUGGCGCCCACUCAGUGCGCCACGUCACAGUUAACGAAAAACUUAACAGUUUGACUAACGGAUGUAUGAGACUGUCCCAAAAUUUACACUUUAGGUAUGACUCUGAGACGAAAAAAACAUGAUGUACUAAAUGUUGAAAAUCACGAAACAUGAAGGUAGUAAACAGUCUUUUAACUAAAAAGAAUGAUUCUCUUAAUAAUAGUAUAGAUAUAAUAUUCAGUUCUCUCUCCGUACCAUCACAUUACUUGAGAAGGACUGCACGACGACUGUAAACUUUGCAUAAAAUUUGCGCGUGACGUUGACUAUCCUAACCCAACUUUUUCAAGACAAGUCUCGAUCAAAGAUAGGUGCAUCCACAUUACUAGACUCUCAUCAUAAACAAAAUAAAAACAAGGCCAAAGGAAGGCGUCUAAUAAAUUGCUGGCUGUAAAAAACUUACUCGUGUCUGAACGUUCCAAUUCAUCAAUGCUCUCAAUUUCCUUCAUCGUUUCUGAUUUUCUUGAUGCUAAAGCCAUAUGCUUCACAUCAUCUUCUUGAUAUCAGAUUUCGUUUCUCUACCCUUGAUUCCCAAUUUUUUGUGUUUUUCUCCGAGCAACUGUUUGCUCACACAAACCAAACAGCUAGAGUUCAGUGUGGGGUUGUUGGAUGCUCAUACUAUAUGGCAGAACAAAUUGUAUGCUUUGUGAUCGAAAAGUUAAUUAAACUACUCAUCACCACAGAAGCAAACCUUUCAAGAGACGUAUGCAAAGAAGUUGGUUUCAUCAAAGAUGAGCUAGAGAGCAUCCGAUUAUUCCUCAAGGACGCAGAUGCUAAGGCGGCAGAAGAUGGAGAGACGACAAAUGACAGUGUCAAAACUUGGGUCAACCAAGUAAGAGAAGCAGCUUUUUACAUUGAAGAUGUCAUUGAUGAAUAUUUGCUUCGUGUCACAAGGCACCUUCAAGAUCGUGGAUUUAUUCCGCUUUUCCACAAAAUUAUCCGGUUGGUAAAAAAAAUGAGAUCACAGGAUGGGAUAGUUUCGAAAGUUGACCGUAUGAAAGAAUUGGUUCGUGGUAUUCAGGAAAGAAGACAAAGAUACGAACUCAGUUCCAUUGACCGGCAAGGUCGAGAUAAUGGCGAAAAGACUCUUCUGUGGUAUGACCCUCGAGUGGCUUCCCUUUUCAUUGAGGAGGCUGAAGUGGUGGGGAUUGAAUCUGCCAGAAAAGAGCUAACUGAUUUGUUGGUCGGAGGAGCGCCGAGACGCGAAGUGAUAUCUGUGGUUGGCAUGGGAGGACUUGGGAAGACAACUCUUGCCAGGAAAGUUUAUGAUAGUCUGACGGUGAUGGACCACUUUAAAUGCUACGCUUGGAUUACGGUGUCCCAGUCGUAUAGGGUGGAGGAUCUUCUGAGGACGGUAGUCAAAAUGUUCUACAAUUCAAGAAAGGAGAACUUCCCAGAGGACAUUGACACAACGGACGAGGAGUCCCUGAUCAGAAAAUCAAGAGAGUAUUUGCAGCAAAAGAGGUACGUUGUUGUGUUUGAUGAUGUGUGGAAAGUAAAGUUUUGGGAGGCUAUAGAACAUGCAUUACCGGAUAAUAAAGGCGGCCGAAUAAUGAUUACUACAAGGAUUCAAGAAGUUGCGGAUUUUUGCAAAAAAUCUUGUUUCGUUCAUGUCCAUCACUUGCAACCUCUGCCUCCGAAGAAUGCAUGGAAAUUGUUUUGUAGAAAGGCAUUCCAGUUUGAAUUGGAGGGAAAUUGCCCUCUAGAGUUAGAAGAUAUGUCACGGGAAAUCGUUAAGAAGUGCGAGGGGCUACCUUUGGCAAUUGUUUGCAUAGGUGGUCUGCUGUCAACGAAAGUUAAAGUGGUGUCUGAAUGGCAGAAGUUAUACAAUAGCUUAAGUUCAGAGUUGAAAAGCAAUCCUCAUCUUACAGGCCUCACAAGAAUCCUAUCCCUCAGCUAUGAGCAUCUACCAUAUUACCUCAAAUCGUGUGUCUUAUACUUUGGCAUCUUUCCAGAGGACUACUCAAUUAAUUGCGUAAGAUUGAUACGGUUGUGGAUUGCUGAAGGGUUUGUAAAAUUGAAGAAGGGCAAGACACUGGAAGAGGUUGGAGAGGAAU
RNAcentral lists this long non-coding RNA (38905 nucleotides) under Malus domestica (apple). Its description in RNAcentral is "long non-coding RNA (MDOM_LNC007147)". The record is from RNAcentral. Lineage: Eukaryota; Viridiplantae; Streptophyta; Magnoliopsida; Rosales; Rosaceae.